This 490-nucleotide ribosomal RNA is filed under the name uncultured bacterium. Its description in RNAcentral is "partial 16S ribosomal RNA". It matches the Rfam family "Bacterial small subunit ribosomal RNA", at positions 30 to 507 of the family's 1533-position model. The record is from RNAcentral.
AUUGAACGCUGGCGGCAGGCCUAACACAUGCAAGUCGAACGGUAACAGGAAGCAGCUUGCUGCUUUGCUGACGAGUGGCGGACGGGUGAGUAAUGUCUGGGAAACUGCCCGAUGGAGGGGGAUAACUACUGGAAACGGUAGCUAAUACCGCAUAACGUCGCAAGACCAAAGAGGGGGACCUUAGGGCCUCUUGCCAUCGGAUGUGCCCAGAUGGGAUUAGCUAGUAGGUGGGGUAACGGCUCACCUAGGCGACGAUCCCUAGCUGGUCUGAGAGGAUGACCAGCCACCAUGGAACUGAGACACGGUCCAGACUCCUACGGGAGGCAGCAGUGGGGAAUAUUGCACAAUGGGCGCAAGCCUGAUGCAGCCAUGCCGCGUGUAUGAAGAAGGCCUUCGGGUUGUAAAGUACUUUCAGCGGGGAGGAAGGGAGUAAAGUUAAUACCUUUGCUCAUUGACGUUACCCGCAGAAGAAGCACCGGCUAACUCCGUG